UACAGAGGGUGCAAGCGUUGCUCGGAUUUACUGGGCGUAAAGCGUGCGCAGGCGGUUAUGCAAGACAGAUGUGAAAUCCCCGGGCUCAACCUGGGAACUGCAUUUGUGACUGCAUGGCUAGAGUACGGUAGAGGGGGAUGGAAUUCCGCGUGUAGCAGUGAAAUGCGUAGAUAUGCGGAGGAACACCGAUGGCGAAGGCAAUCCCCUGGACCUGUACUGACCCUCAUGCACGAAAGCGUGGGGAGCAAACAGG
RNAcentral lists this ribosomal RNA (253 nucleotides) under uncultured bacterium. RNAcentral describes it as "partial 16S ribosomal RNA". It matches the Rfam family "Bacterial small subunit ribosomal RNA", at positions 524 to 776 of the family's 1533-position model. The record is from RNAcentral.